RNAcentral lists this long non-coding RNA (265 nucleotides) under Hordeum vulgare. RNAcentral describes it as "long non-coding RNA (HVUL_LNC000654)". The record is from RNAcentral. Lineage: Eukaryota; Viridiplantae; Streptophyta; Magnoliopsida; Poales; Poaceae.
UUCUUAUGACAGUUUUUAUUCUGUUGGGAACUGUAAUUGCACCAAUGUGUGAUGUAUAUGUCUCAAAGAAAUACUACGUGUUGGUCCAAGAUGUAAAGCUAAUCAGCAUGUUAAACUUUAACGCCUUCACAUUGCGAACAUGUUUGAGGAAGAAUGGUAAGGUUUUACAAGACGGUCGUGUCGGCAAUGGCCACCUGGAAACCUUGCCCUACUUCAGGUAUGUUUUUAUUCAUGCGUGCAUUUUCAGUUAUAUGUGCUACUCGUC